Molecule: microRNA precursor, 208 nt
Filed under: Oryza barthii
Lineage: Eukaryota; Viridiplantae; Streptophyta; Magnoliopsida; Poales; Poaceae
Description: MIR812 microRNA precursor family
Rfam family: MIR812 microRNA precursor family
Source: Rfam by way of RNAcentral
ACAACGAGCUUUCUUGUACUCCCCUGUCUCAUUUUGAGUAAUUGUCCGUCUUAUUUAAAAUUUUUUUAUAAUUAAUAUUUCUGUUAUUAUGAAAUGAUAAAACAUAAAUAAUAAUUUACUUGUGACUUAUAUUUUUAAUUUUUUUAAAAGUAAUUUUAAAUAAGACAGACGAUUAAAGUUUACAUAAAAAACCAUAACUGUGUUUAAA